Non-coding RNA from Camellia sinensis, 1722 nucleotides. The record is from RefSeq and is a predicted model, not a curated record. NCBI's taxonomy places the organism in Eukaryota, Viridiplantae, Streptophyta, Magnoliopsida, Ericales, Theaceae.
CUCCAUCACAAGUCUCCAUCAUCAACACAGUUACGAACCUACACAGGAUCAUAACUCUUUUCUUUCUUCCCCUGCUAACCAGUCUCCGUCUCAUCCUCCAUUUCCGAGCGGCGGCAUAAGGCGGCUCCGUCUUUUGUCUCCACCGUCUGAUUAGACGUCGGAUCUCAGACCACUCAUCGUCACCGCUUCCAUUGAAGCCCUCGGAUCUUGAUAAUCGCAGAGGCUUAUCUCCAUCUACAAUCAGACAACUUGUGAUUCCAUUUUAGGGUUUUUUUUGAAUUGUUGAAAAGGAUUGAUGAUUCUAGCAUCGAUCUCAGAAGUAGAGCAAGGACUUUUUACUCUUUUUGUACCUUUUAAAGAUCCCGAAGAGCUUCCCAAGUGGAACUAUGAUGGAUGUAGCAUAUGCCAAGCUCAUGGAGAAAAGUGUUAAUUGAUCAUAUUUUGGAUUAGCAUCUAAUAAGAUAACUGUUGGAUUAGCAAGAGAAGUAACAAGGAUUGACAAGUUCGAUAGCGGGAAAGGCGAACUGAGCAAUGGUAAUCUCCAUUGGCUACUCUUGAUUGUUGUAGGUAAAAUUUUGGCGUUUGUCAAACAAGCAACCAUUACGUGUUGCAUCUAUUAAUCCGACAACUGUAUAUGAUUCUUUGAGAUUAUCUUUUCACUUUUGCUCUUAGUGUUAAUCUUAUUGUUCUUUGUUAGCUGACUCCAAAAUUAGGGUUUUGUACAGAGAAUUGGGGAUAUUUUGGCAUAAAUAGAGGUUAAUUUUGCAUUGCCAGUUUGUUUUGUUAUUCCUAAUUUUUUUAUGGGACUUGUUAAGUUGAAGUAUUUACUAGCAUAAACACGUUGUUGAGCAUAAUUUGUUGAUCACGUAUGCUUUAGCUGCUCACAAAUGCUUUACCUACUUUUGUUGGUUUGUCAGUAUAGAAGCAUAACUUGUCACCUUGCCACACAUAUUUUGGAUUAUACAUGCUUAACACAGAAUUCAUAUACCAUUUGCUAGAAUGCUUAUCAAAAGGAUAAAAAUACUAUUGACAUUGCUCUUUAAAGGCUAAUGGCUCACUUGGCUACAUAUGUAUGCCACUAUAACCUGUUAAAAGUAUGCGAAGUUGUGUUGCUUCCAUUAUUCUUGCAAAUGGUUGGAUUAACUUACUGACAAAAAGAGCAAUGGACUUUACUGACAAAAAGAGCAAAUUUUUAAACAGCAAUGGACUUUACUGACAAAAAGAGAUUGAAUUGAAAUAUAAACAUUAGUAUGUGAUUCACAUAAACAAUACAGUUCAACAAGAAUUAAAUUCGCAUAUCUAUAUGUGUGUGUGAUUGUGUGAGAGGGUACUAAUGAAUUAAAAUGAGGCUUUAUUAACUCAUCAAACAUACUCUUGUUUAUGGUCUUAAUUUCCAAGUCAACUAGUGGGUCAGCCCAGAAGAAUGCAAGGAAGGUUCAAUGACUUUGAAAUUACACUUUCCACAACAUUCAAUUUCAAUUUCAAUUAUAAAAAGGCAAACAAAUUGUCAAUUCAACUUCACCAAUUUCGUUUCAACAUUUUGUCAAACACAUGGUGAGCAAGAGGGUGGAAAAUAACAACAAUAAAAAGCAUAGCCCAAACAACAGCAACAUAUAAACUACCAAAAACAAUAAUAGCAACAUCAUCACACACAAACUAAUUGAUUAAAAGAAAAUUAGAAUUGAAUGGAAGUACGGUUAAGAAUCAUUAUGUAGGACAAUA